RNAcentral lists this ribosomal RNA (289 nucleotides) under uncultured Desulfomicrobium sp. Its description in RNAcentral is "partial 16S ribosomal RNA". Lineage: Bacteria; Pseudomonadati; Thermodesulfobacteriota; Desulfovibrionia; Desulfovibrionales; Desulfomicrobiaceae. The record is from RNAcentral.
CUACACGGGUUUCUAAUCCUGUUUGCUCCCCACACUUUCGCACCUCAGCGUCAAUACCUGUCCAGGCGGCCGCCUUCGCCACCGGUGUUCCUCCUGAUAUCUACGGAUUUCACUCCUACACCAGGAAUUCCGCCGCCCUCUCCAGGAUUCGAGCCCCGCAGUUUCAAGUGCAGUUCCACGGUUGAGCCGUGGGAUUUCACACCUGACUUACAAGGCCGCCUACGUGCGCUUUACGCCCAGUAAUUCCGAAUAACGCUUGCACCCUCCGUAUUACCGCGGCUGCUGGCAC